Oncorhynchus tshawytscha (Chinook salmon) is the source of this 540-nucleotide long non-coding RNA. Lineage: Eukaryota; Metazoa; Chordata; Actinopteri; Salmoniformes; Salmonidae. The record is from Ensembl.
AGAAAACGAAUCAAGCAGCCAAACCUCCCCCGGAGUCAACUAUAUUUAAAGGCAAUUUAUAAAAUACACUUUGUUGACGAAUAUGUGAUACGCUAAUUUAUUAUCUUGACAAUGUGCUGCUACCGGUGGCUGUUUGCUUGCUCUGGACCUAUCGCGCCACGAGAACGCACGACUAUAUACCUGAUUAUCGUGUUCAUCAUUGUGUAAGAUCUCUUAGACCUAGUAACCAGUCUGUCUCCUGUAUGAUCAGAGACACACCGUGAGACUGGUUUUCACAAGACCACAAUGAACUGCCUUCUGCACAUCAAGGAGACCCUGCUACACUAUAGAUGGCAGGAAGCUGCUGAGUACAUGUCCAGUUACUCACGAACACUGGAGGACAUGCCACAACUCUACGCUGAGGACAAGCACAGAUACACCACCGUCCCAUCUUGAAGCUGGAAGACCACAACAGUUUCUAUGCGCUACUAGAGAUCUAUGCGGGAGUGAAACACUCAGGAGUGAAACAUUACCUGAAGCUUCACCUGGAAUGCUUUUCCA